This 95-nucleotide microRNA precursor is filed under the name Marmota monax (woodchuck). Lineage: Eukaryota; Metazoa; Chordata; Mammalia; Rodentia; Sciuridae. The record is from RNAcentral.
AGAGGAAAGUCUGGGUAGUAUGUUAACUGUGUUAACUUUAAGAAACUAAUAAACUGUUUAACAAAGUGAUUGUACCAUUUUACACUCCCAGUAGU